This is a ribosomal RNA of Pteropus vampyrus (large flying fox), 118 nucleotides long. The record is from Ensembl. NCBI's taxonomy places the organism in Eukaryota, Metazoa, Chordata, Mammalia, Chiroptera, Pteropodidae.
GUCAGCAAAUAAAUCUCUACUUCUCCAUUAGAAUUAGAAAACUUUUGAAGCUAAGCAGGGUCGGGCUUGGUUAGUACUUGGAUGGGAGACCACCUAGGAAGACCAGGUGCUGUAGGUG